CGGGCUAUGGCGCAGUUGGUAGCGCGCAUGCAUGGGGUGCAUGAGGUCGCGGGUUCGAGUCCCGCUAGCCCGACCG
This 76-nucleotide transfer RNA is filed under the name Candidatus Uhrbacteria bacterium RIFCSPHIGHO2_02_FULL_57_19. RNAcentral describes it as "tRNA-Pro". It matches the Rfam family "tRNA". Rfam says of the family: Transfer RNA (tRNA) molecules are approximately 80 nucleotides in length. Their secondary structure includes four short double-helical elements and three loops (D, anti-codon, and T loops). Further hydrogen bonds mediate the characteristic L-shaped molecular structure. tRNAs have two regions of fundamental functional importance: the anti-codon, which is responsible for specific mRNA codon recognition, and the 3' end, to which the tRNAs corresponding amino acid is attached (by aminoacyl-tRNA synthetases). tRNAs cope with the degeneracy of the genetic code in two manners: having more than one tRNA (with a specific anti-codon) for a particular amino acid; and 'wobble' base-pairing, i.e. permitting non-standard base-pairing at the 3rd anti-codon position. RNAcentral also lists the same sequence under 1 other name. The record is from RNAcentral. Lineage: Bacteria; Candidatus Uhriibacteriota.